This 427-nucleotide ribosomal RNA is filed under the name uncultured bacterium. RNAcentral describes it as "partial 16S ribosomal RNA". It matches the Rfam family "Bacterial small subunit ribosomal RNA", at positions 355 to 774 of the family's 1533-position model. The record is from RNAcentral.
UGGGGAAUAUUGGACAAUGGGCGAAAGCCUGAUCCAGCCAUGCCGCGUGUGUGAAGAAGGUCUUCGGAUUGUAAAGCACUUUAAGUUGGGAGGAAGGGCAUUAACCUAAUACGUUAGUGUUUUGACGUUACCGACAGAAUAAGCACCGGCUAACUCUGUGCCAGCAGCCGCGGUAAUACAGAGGGUGCAAGCGUUAAUCGGAAUUACUGGGCGUAAAGCGCGCGUAGGUGGUUUGUUAAGUUGGAUGUGAAAUCCCCGGGCUCAACCUGGGAACUGCAUUCAAAACUGACUGACUAGAGUAUGGUAGAGGGUGGUGGAAUUUCCUGUGUAGCGGUGAAAUGCGUAGAUAAAGGAAGGAACACCAGUGGCGAAGGCGACCACCUGGACUAAUACUGACACUGAGGUGCGAAAGCGUGGGGAGCAAACA